GAUGAACGCUAGCGGGAGGCCUAACACAUGCAAGCCGAGCGGUAGAGUCUCUUCGGAGACUUGAGAGCGGCGCACGGGUGCGGAACACGUGUGCAACCUGCCUUUAUCUGGGGGAUAGCCUUUCGAAAGGAAGAUUAAUACCCCAUAAUAUACUGGAUGGCAUCAUCUGGUAUUGAAAACUCCGGUGGAUAGAGAUGGGCACGCGCAAGAUUAGAUAGUUGGUGAGGUAACGGCUCACCAAGUCUACGAUCUUUAGGGGGCCUGAGAGGGUGAUCCCCCACACUGGUACUGAGACACGGACCAGACUCCUACGGGAGGCAGCAGUGAGGAAUAUUGGACAAUGGGUGAGAGCCUGAUCCAGCCAUCCCGCGUGAAGGGCGACGGCCCUAUGGGUUGUAAACUUCUUUUGUAUAGGGAUAAACCUAGAUACGUGUAUCUAGCUGAAGGUACUAUACGAAUAAGCACCGGCUAACUCCGUGCCAGCAGCCGCGGUAAUACGGAGGGUGCAAGCGUUAUCCGGAUUUAUUGGGUUUAAAGGGUCCGUAGGCUGAUUUGUAAGUCAGUGGUGAAAUCUCACAGCUUAACUGUGAAACUGCCAUUGAUACUGCAAGUCUUGAGUGUUGUUGAAGUAGCUGGAAUAAGUAGUGUAGCGGUGAAAUGCAUAGAUAUUACUUAGAACACCAAUUGCGAAGGCAGGUUACUAAGCAACAACUGACGCUGAUGGACGAAAGCGUGGGGAGCGAACAGGAUUAGAUACCCUGGUAGUCCACGCCGUAAACGAUGCUAACUCGUUUUUGGGUUUUCGGAUUCAGAGACUAAGCGAAAGUGAUAAGUUAGCCACCUGGGGAGUACGAACGCAAGUUUGAAACUCAAAGGAAUUGACGGGGGCCCGCACAAGCGGUGGAUUAUGUGGUUUAAUUCGAUGAUACGCGAGGAACCUUACCAAGGCUUAAAUGGGAAAUGACAGGUUUAGAAAUAGACUUUUCUUCGGACAUUUUUCAAGGUGCUGCAUGGUUGUCGUCAGCUCGUGCCGUGAGGUGUUAGGUUAAGUCCUGCAACGAGCGCAACCCCUGUCACUAGUUGCCAUCAUUAAGUUGGGGACUCUAGUGAGACUGCCUACGCAAGUAGAGAGGAAGGUGGGGAUGACGUCAAAUCAUCACGGCCCUUACGCCUUGGGCCACACACGUAAUACAAUGGCCGGUACAGAGGGCAGCUACACAGUGAUGUGAUGCAAAUCUCGAAAGCCGGUCUCAGUUCGGAUUGGAGUCUGCAACUCGACUCUAUGAAGCUGGAAUCGCUAGUAAUCGCGCAUCAGCCAUGGCGCGGUGAAUACGUUCCCGGGCCU
RNAcentral lists this ribosomal RNA (1345 nucleotides) under uncultured bacterium. Its description in RNAcentral is "bacterial SSU rRNA". It matches the Rfam family "Bacterial small subunit ribosomal RNA", at positions 28 to 1381 of the family's 1533-position model. The record is from RNAcentral.